Molecule: long non-coding RNA, 215 nt
Organism: Lethenteron reissneri (Far Eastern brook lamprey)
Lineage: Eukaryota; Metazoa; Chordata; Hyperoartia; Petromyzontiformes; Petromyzontidae
Source: RefSeq, a predicted model, not a curated record
GCGCGGGUUCAGGGUAGAGUGAGAGAAGCGAGACGCGGGUCAGAGUAAACAUCGCCACUGGGGAGACAAAGGCGGCCGGGCCUGGUGCUGACCACCCACCGGCCUUCACAGGAAUUCAAUUCGCGUGCAACCGUGAGCGCACGCGAUUCGACCGGCCCGAUGAGCCCCAACACGGAUGAAACCCGUCCACAGUUCGUCGCUCCGCGUGCCUCACC